This 245-nucleotide ribosomal RNA is filed under the name uncultured bacterium. RNAcentral's name for it is "partial 16S ribosomal RNA". It matches the Rfam family "Bacterial small subunit ribosomal RNA", at positions 524 to 768 of the family's 1533-position model. The record is from RNAcentral.
UACAGAGGUCUCAACCGUUGUUCGGAUUCAUUGGGCGUAAAGGGUGCGUAGGCGGUCGGGUGAGUCGGAUGUGAAAUCUCAGGGCUCAACCCUGAAACUGCAUUCGAUACUGCUUGGCUAGGGUACUGGAGAGGAGACUGGAAUUUACGGUGUAGCAGUGAAAUGCGUAGAUAUCGUAAGGAAGACCAGUGGCGAAGGCGAGUCUCUGGACAGUUACCGACGCUGAGGCACGAAGGCCAGGGGAG